Molecule: long non-coding RNA, 5634 nt
Organism: Equus caballus (horse)
Lineage: Eukaryota; Metazoa; Chordata; Mammalia; Perissodactyla; Equidae
Source: Ensembl
CCCACAACGAAGAAUACACAACUAUGUACCAGGGGGCUUUGGGGAGAAAAAGGAAAAAAUAAAAUCUUUAAAAAAAAUUGAACUUAAUUUUGCCAAAACUACUCAUGUUCCAUUUUACCCAAAAAAGAAGACUGGAAUAAGCCUGGUUUUGUUGCAGUUACCUACUUCACCUCCCCACUUUACCCCAACACCACCGCUACCAACAGCAACUCUAGGCCAGGAGCUCAUUGUCUUAUCUCAGCCUGGGUCACUACAAAGUUUCCCAUUAGCCUCUUUGCCUCUGCUCUGGCUCCCAUUUAAUUCCUCCAUCUCAUAAAACCACAGGGAUAUUUCUAAAGUCUACAUAUAAUCUUGCCCCUUGUUUGCUAACAAUCCUUUCAAGACUCCCCUCACUUUCAAAUAGACAAAUGCCCCAUUGUGGUAUACGAGUUUGACCAUGAUAGCCCCUACUGAAUCCUGCAGCUGUACCUUCCAGCCCCAGAUUCAGUCACCAGCCACACCCAACUCCCUGACUUGUGCCCCACUGGCUCAGGAUCUCACUUCCUUCCCAGACUUUUCGCAUACAAUUUCUUUGACCUGGAACUAGUCCUUCUUCACCUGGCUUCUUCCUCUUUCUUCUUUAAGGAGCAACUCAAAUUUCUUCCACCCUAGACUCAGUUUUAUGUCCUCCUUAGCUGCUCCCAUUACUCUAGCACUGAGCCUUCCAGCUAUAAACUCUGGGUCUAUUUAUCCGUCUUCCACACUGCAUUGUAAACUUCUCAGGGGCAAGAGAUAUCUUUCAACCAUCACUAGAGCCUAGCAUAAAGACUAGUGUGGAGUCUUAACUGAAUAAAUGUUUAGUAAAACAAUAGGGAAGUUGCUGGGGGAAAUGUUUGUACUUUUCUCUUUCCCUGUUCCUAAGUAGGUUCUCCUAAUAUGAAAUGCCUUAGAAAGGACUGCAUUGUCAGGAAUUAGGUCUAGUGGAGAUGCUGCAGGACUCUAAGGUCAGCCAGAUCUGGGUGAAAGCAUAUUUCUUGCAAUUUGAUAUUUUAGUAGUGUAGACAAGAGCCAGACUGGUUAUUUUCCCAAGUAAGCCCUGCCGAGUUAUUUCCCUGAAAAGAGGAUAUGUUCUGAUCCUUGAAGCAGCAUGAUAACAAGUGCAAUAUGUAAUAUGUUAACAUUUCAAAUCAUUACAGAGCAAGUGUGAGCUCUUCCUGCCUUUAUUCAGGCCCAUGAGCCUAGAUGCCAGGCUCACCCUCUCCAGGUGAAGUGGGAAUGUGUGGGGACAAUUGGCCUAAGUCUAAAUAAAAAAAAAGACACUGAGGCACUUUUAAAUGACUAAAACUGUGACUUCUGAACACACAUCAGGGGUAGUAUCACCUACACUGAGGUCAGAUGGUGGGAGAACCCCAGGGGAAGCAGCAAGUUCAAGUCACGCUGUCUCUCCAUCCUCUGGAUCUCAUGUCCCCCUGGUUGCCAUCCCUUCACUAGAAGCACAGAGACUUCAGAAGUCAUAAGGUGUGGGAACGUCCACUUCCUAUUUGCUAGGCCACAGAAAACUUUGCACAGUUAAGUUUGGUCAAAUACAUCACCAUUAAUACACAUCAAUUCUUCCUCCAAAGUUGAGUCAAAGAGAAAGGACACAUGAGCAGAGGAUGCACUAGCAAGAACAAAGCUUUAUACACAUAAUCUGGAACAGAAAGAUAAGUGCCCAUUGAGGCAAAUGAGUAAGGAGAAAGGGGCAGCUGUAAGCAGGAGGCUGUGUCCUACCAGUUCCAAGGUGAGAGGAAAAUUGUCCCAGAGCUUGGGUUGGCCAGGCUAACAGUCAAAGCCAGGAAUGGCUCAGGUGAUGAUAUGUACAGAUCUUUCUUCUACUCUCUGCAGUGGAACUUCGACUGUUGAGAACUGACCAGCCUCCUCUGCCCUACCCACUCUGACACACACACACAUGCCCUGAGGCGUGGGACCUCCAGCUUGCAGUGGGAAGACAGAGAGCGGUUACGUUUGUUUGACAUAACUACAAAGGACUGAGCCUCUUCCCAGCAGAGCAAGUUCCAUUCUUGGAAGCUUUUGCUUCUUAAUUGAUGAGAUCUGCAUCUUGCACUAGGACAAAAUGAAGGGUUGGUAGUCCUACACUUCUGGCUCCCACAGGUGUGGAUGGUGGCAAAGGUGCCCCGAAGGCAAGGCUGAUAAUUGCUGUGACCACAUCUGAGUUGGAAUUACUUCUGACCAAAUAUAGGAGCAAAAGUGCCUCCAAACACAGGCAUUUUCUUAGUAGUGCUGCCCCCCGAAAGUCAAAGGGGGUACCAUGGCUGGAUGACCAGGUAUUCUGACUGCAGGAAAAAGUAGAAACGUCCCCUUAAAAAUUUUGGCGUUGUCCCUCUGACUGUAAGAGUCACACUUUGACGAUGAGCACCCCAGGAGCUCAGAAUGAUGGUGGGAAGGCCCCAAGCACAAGUUUGGUGAUGCCCUCCUCCAUCCAUCAUAUCACACAGGCCCCAGGUGCUGUGACUGUAGGCAGGAACACAAGGGGCUGCAAGCACAGUUGUGGCACUGGCUCUACAACUUCUAAAGAUGAACUCUGGCCGGUGUGCCCAGGUGCUCUGAUUGUAGACAUGAAGAGAAAUACCUCCAAGCAUACAAAUGGUGCUCAUCCCUCCCACUGCAGCACACAUGCUGUGGCCAGGGGGACCCCAGGAGCUCCAGCAGAAGGCAGGAAGAAGAUUUCCCAACACAGUUAUGGUGCUCAGUUCCUCUGACUGCAACAGAUAUGCUCUGGUACGCAGGAUCCCAGCUGAUCUGACCACUCGGAGGAAAAAAGUGUGACCUGGCACUCAUUUCUUCUCAGUGGUGCUGACUCCUUCAGUAGUCACGGAUGUGCCUUCACCCAGCUGGCUCCAAGUGCUCUGACUAUGAGGCAGAAAGGAAAGUGUCUUCCAGGACAGAUUUGCUGUACAAGUGAGCUCUCCAAUUGCAAGUGAAGUGCCAUAGUCAGCAGGACCCUGGUGCUCAGGUCUAAGUGUCCCCAACUUAGCGGACCAGUGUCUGCUUGGUCCUGCAUCAAAGUUGAGUCCUCCAGAAUGGAGCUGGGGCCUGGGCAGCCACAGUCACCCAAAGCUGCUGCCAUCCAUAAGGGCUGCAGAACCCACAACACAAAUGGGUCUGCAGUGGUGUUAGCAAACAAUGAGCUACUGUCCCCAGUGGUAGUUGCUCUUAAGACAGAAGUAGCGGCUGUGCCACUGGGAAAAAUGCCUGGGUGUCUCCGAAGUCUAGCUGGGUGCUGACAGGGAUGCCAAAGGUGGAAAAUGGGGAUGUUAACCCACAAAGCUCAUUGAAUUGUGCUGCCAUUGAGUGGCUGGGCUGUGGCAAAGCUCAAAUUGUAGCUUGUGCUAGAGCUGGCUGGCUUCCAAAAGGGAGAGAGCUGCCAUUGGGUGGCUCCAGGCUGCAGCCCAUCAGGAGCCCUAAAUGUGGGCCAAGGGAUGGUGGUGGUUCCCAGGUCAAAGGGAGUUUGAAAGUUGCGUUUGGGCUGCUGACUGUGCAGGCAGGCUGGUGGAAACUGGGUCUGAGGCAAUGCUGCCACAGGGAGACAUCUUCUCAGAACGAGGAAGUGCCAUGGAAAAUAAAAAGAAGUUCUCCCUAAAGCCUGGGUGAGACCUGGAGAUAAGAGCCUGGGAAGAGAAAGUGGCGUCCUUGUCAGUGAUACCAAAGUCCAAAGCAGGCUGGCGUGCUGGUUGUGAUGGUAGACGUGACCAUGGAAGGAAUGAUGGGCUAGCAGGUGAAGAUUGGGGACUGCUGGUGACUGGAGGAGGGACUAUAUGAAAAAGAUAGAAGAAUCCACAAACAUAGGUUUUGGUGACUCCAUUCUGUAGGAGGCAAGUGUGACAGAGAGGACUGAGGUGAUAGGAGAUACGGGGAGGUUAAAAUAGAAGAUGCUGCAGCUAUGACUGAGGGAUGGGAAUGCAAGGGCCUCUGUUCUCAUUACUAAAUGGAACCCCAAAAGUGAGCUUGACUCUAUAGGGAGAAAGAGAGUCAACAUGAACAGCAAAAGAAGGAGAACAAGAAAUUGCACGUCUUGUUUCAUAAUAAAGGUCAGCCAAGUCAGUGACUGGUAAUGUUUUAGUAACACAGGUCUGCAAGGGGAAAGUGGCUGAGGCAGUGCAGUCUGACAUGGCCUGUGUCAUCCCCCAAGACCUUAUUAAGCCACUAUGGCUCAACUACCUUCUCCAAGCCCAGGUCUUCAGCAAUGGCUGUACAAGGAAGCUGAGGAUGUCAGAGCAGCUCACCUCCACCCUACGACAGUGGCAGUGGCACAGCGACUUUUGCAGGGAGGGCCCAAAACUGGCAGAUGUGGUGGUGAAGUCCUCCUUGACAGGUCUAAAAGCUUUUCUCCCUCUGUCUUCCUGGACAUCAGUGAGGUGGAGAACUGAGCUGAUGGCCUUCAUCAAGCACCGCCUUUGUCAACCUCUGGAGAAGCAGGAGCAGGAUGAAGUUGGACCAGAAAGGCUUGCUGCACCUGGAUCAGUCCUCUAAAGGGACAAGACACCUCCAGCAGGACCCAUGAGCUGGGAGUGGCAUGGCCUUUGGUGAAGGAGCUCAUAGAGAACAUAAGGUUUUUCUUACUCAAACUAUCUUCCGGGGCUUAGAUUGGAGGGUUCCCUUCAGAAGCCCAGGACUACACCUCAACGAAGUGACACUCCAGCGGCCUCCCAAGACCUAGAUGCUGACACUGUAUGGGGUCGCUUCUCUGAACGUCCUGCCUUCCGUCACUAGUUGAUCAUCCUUCUCUGUGCCUUUCCUGCAUUCUCCUAGGGCUCAGUUUCCUUCAGGCAAGGAUCCGGGGGAUGACAGGAUGCCUCUCGCCUCAUAAAGGCGACCAACUGCUCAGGUAGCCGACAGAGGAGGAUCCAUUUGUUUCUGGAGAAGGGAUAUUUACCGUUCUUGGGCGACCCUUACUGACGAACAGCCUGGAGGUUCGAGCAGCCAGCACCAGCAUCUUCAGAGCCAACAAGGAGCCCCCAGACGGGCACUGAGCCUGCGGGACGGCGCUGUAACACCGAGCGGGUGGCAGCACGCCCUCGCGGCGGGCCAGCCUGGGAACAUGGCGGAGCAGAGCAGCUUCCCACAUUGACAUUACCUUCCUGGCCACCCCUGGCCUGUUCAUUUUCCUCCUUAAGGGAGAACUGAAGAGUCAAGAUCCAACAAAAAUAAAACAUCAAGCACAAUGGGGUGUUUUGUGUGCUCCUUAGAAGCUCCUUUGCCAAACUGGGAGGAACAGAAAAACCUGCUGAGGUUUUCAAAUAGAAAUGGCAGAGGCUGUGUGACUGUCUACAUAAAACGGAAACCAGAAAAAGUGCCACAAUAUUUGAAAAAAGGAAAAUAUGGUCACCACCUUUAAAAGAAAAUACAAGAAACGUGACUGGCAACCACCGCUUGGCUUACUGUUCUCCGCCGAGAGCAAAAGUCUACUAGAGCAGUAGACUAAAGGCGUGGGUUGUCAGAAAGGUCCUACUGGAUAUCUGGAAUUCCUCUUUGUCAAACCUCAAAAGUUUGCUUUAACUUAAAAUAUAUAACUAUGUAUCCAUUUGCCAAUCUUUCUUAUAUUAUGUAAAAUUUCAAACAUAUACAAAAGUAAAGAGAAUAACAUCAGGACCUCCA